Molecule: ribosomal RNA, 430 nt
Filed under: uncultured bacterium
Lineage: Bacteria
Description: bacterial SSU rRNA
Rfam family: Bacterial small subunit ribosomal RNA
Source: RNAcentral
GGGCCCGCACAAGCGGUGGAGCAUGUGGUUUAAUUCGACGAUACGCGAAAAACCUUACCAGCUCUUGACAUGGGGAUUUUGGACCUUGGAGACAAGGUUCUUCGGUUCGGCCGGGUCCUACACAGGUGCUGCAUGGCUGUCGUCAGCUCGUGUCGUGAGAUGUUGGGUUAAGUCCCGCAACGAGCGCAACCCUUGUCCCUAGUUGCUAACAGGUUAUGCUGAGAACUUUAGGGAGACUGCCGGUGACAAACUGGAGGAAGGAAAGGAUGAUGUCAAGUCAUCAUGGCCCUUAUGGGCUGGGCUACACACGUGCUACAAUGGUGGUUACAAAAAGACGCAAUAGGGCGACCUGGAGCAAAUCUAUAAAGCCAUCUCAGUUCGGAUUGUUCUCUGCAACUCGAGAGCAUGAAGUUGGAAUCGCUAGUAAUCG